GACGAACGCUGGCGGCGUGCUUAACACAUGCAAGUCGAACGGAAAGGCCCUGCUUUUGUGGGGUGCUCGAGUGGCGAACGGGUGAGUAACACGUGAGUAACCUGCCCUUGUCUUUGGGAUAACUUCACGAAACUGGGGCUAAUACCGGAUAGGAGCUCCUGCUGCGUGGUGGGCGUUGGAAAGUUUCGGCGGUUGGGGAUGGACUCGCGGCUUAUCAGCUUGUUGGUGGGGUAGUGGCUUACCAAGGCUUUGACGGGUAGCCGGCCUGAGAGGGUGACCGGCCACCUUGGGACUGAGAUACGGCCCAGACGCCUACGGGAGGCAGCAGUGGGGAGUAUUGCACAAUGGGCGGAAGCCUGAUGCAGCAACGCCGCGUGCGGGAUGACGGCUUUCGGGUUGUAAACCGCUUUCGCCUGUGACGAAGCGUGAGUGACGGUAAUGGGUAAAGAAGCACCGGCUAACUACGUG
Molecule: ribosomal RNA, 468 nt
Filed under: uncultured bacterium
Lineage: Bacteria
Description: partial 16S ribosomal RNA
Rfam family: Bacterial small subunit ribosomal RNA
Source: RNAcentral